CAAAAAUAUGUGAUUCCUCUGCUCAAAUAAAGAAAAUAACCUCAGGACGGGGAACCGGCUCCAGCCACAAACCAACGCUGGCCAAUAUUUGCCUAAGAGUUAAGGAGAAGUUCAGUUCACG
Molecule: long non-coding RNA, 121 nt
Organism: Sceloporus undulatus (fence lizard)
Lineage: Eukaryota; Metazoa; Chordata; Lepidosauria; Squamata; Phrynosomatidae
Exons: 3
Source: RefSeq, a predicted model, not a curated record